UUGUCUUCCACGCAAACAGAGCAACAUGCAUAUAUGUAGAAACUGGCACCACACAGAGAGAACAUGAGCAGCUGCAUGCUUGCGCACUAGUUGUUUGUAUCACCACCACUCCCUCCGUCGUCUCCUCCAUGACUGCUGUACUGGUCUCGUGGGAUGGCAUGGUGGUUGUCCACGGCGGUUCCGCCGCCAACACCAAGGGUGGGCUUAUAAGCGGACCUGGCCGUGGCCGUCGUCGUCGUCUCUCCGCCGGCACCCUUGUUCUCGAGCAUCCCCAUGGCAGGGCUCAUCAGGCCAUGGCUGACUACAGCAAAUACAAGAACGAUAGCUGCGAACUUGGUCGUCCUGGCUUUCAUUUCC
Molecule: unclassified non-coding RNA, 357 nt
Filed under: Zea mays
Lineage: Eukaryota; Viridiplantae; Streptophyta; Magnoliopsida; Poales; Poaceae
Description: misc RNA Zm00001eb087760
Source: RNAcentral